UUUUGUUUUGGUCAAACCUUUUGUUUUCUACUCUUUUCAGAGGGGUUUUCUGUUUGUUUGGGUUUUUGUUUCUUGCUGUGACUGAAACAAGAGGGUUUAUUGCAGCAAAAAUCAGUAAUAAGAAAUAGUAACAAUACCUUGCAGAAGAAGGGUGGGAGAAAAGGAAAAAAGGAAAUUCUAUAGAAAUCUAUAUAUUGGAUUUUUUUUUUUUUUUACUAUAUAUCUUUUUUUUUUUUUUCGUUGUUGUCUCUAGCCUGAUCAGAUAGGAGCACAAGCAAGGGACAGAAAAUAGUGACACUCAGCGGCAGAAUUCCCUCCCAGCCACUGAGCUGUCUUGCCAGCACCAUUCCUGGUCAUGCAGAACAGAGCCCAACUAGCAGCAGGAAGACAGAACACACAAGACCCUUUUAUACAGUAUUUCAGGUGCCUACCACACAGGAAACCUUGAAGAAAAUCAGUUUCUAGAAGCCGCUGUUACCUCUUGUUUACAGUUUAUAUAUAUAUGAUAGAUAUGAGAUCUAUAUAUAAAAGGUACUGUUAACUACUGUACAACCCGACUUCAUACUGGUGCUUUAAACAGCGAGAUGAGUAAAAACAUCAGCUUCCACGUUGCCUUAUGUGCAAAGGGUUAAACCGAGGAUGGAGAAGGGAGGCAGCUUGAAGGUGAAUCGAUGCCGUGGUGGGCUUUCUCCCCCGGUAUUGAACAAGGUGAAGGGGGAGAAUCCGGGACCCGCGUUCUCCUGCUUCUCCUUGCCAAAAACGGGGGUGAGGGGAGGUGGGUCGGACCGUGGAGAGCUGAGAGUGGGAUUCAUCCAGGCUCACGCAAUAACCUUUUGAUUUUUUUUCAAAAAGGAGACUCCCUCGGCAAGAUGACAGGAUAAGGAGUCUUCCUUCCCAAUUUCUCACAUUAGCCGAUUCGAGGGCUCCUUGUGGUGGGAUCAGAAAUAAUCCAGAGUGUGGGCAAGUGACCGUUAAAACCCCACCUGGAGCAAAUAAAAAAACAUACAAAACGUACUGGUGCUUUCCUGUCUAAGUCGCCUUUUGUGUGUUCUUUUAUGAGGCCCUCACCAUCCACCCUCUGUGCACAAGGCGGCUUCCGGCCCCUGGAAUGUGAUGUUUUUGGUCAUCUCCAAAGGCUGCAGUUUUAUACUGGGAGGCUGAUGACACCUUUUGUUAUAAUUAUUCUUAUGGUUCUGGUUAUAAUUAUGUUUGUUUUCAGAUUUUUUCUUUAAGAAAACAAAAACCCAACCCCCCCUCCCUUGCGGUUUCAAACCGAGGUGCGGGGAGCAGGGUGCUUCUAAGUUAGCGGUGGCCCUGGUGCCCUGGCUCCCCACCCCUCGGGCCAGGUGGGCCACCGGGCACAGUGACAGCUGGGCGGCCAGGGGAGUCCCCGAGGCCGGCCUUCCGGGCGCGUCCCUCCUCUCUUCUUCCCCUCCUCUGAGUCGUGCGUGUCAGGGCUGGAGGGAGGACCAGGCCAUCUCUCUCCUCGUGUGUAUGAUUGGAGUGGUGUGUAUUUCUUUUCUAGUACUUGGUCUGAUGAUAGCUGGGCUCUCACCCGAGCCGGCAGCACCUGGAGCCCCAAGGGCACGGACACUUGGUUCCACCUCCUACCGAGGCAGGCGUUGGCGGUAGGCAGGGCCAGCAUCGGUGGCUCCAGGGUGAGGGCCCAAUGGGCAGAUGCUUGCCUGGAUAGAUGGGGUGUAGAUAUGUGGCAUAUAGAGAUAUAUAUUUUAUAAUGGGAGGGGGGAUGGCACCUCCUGGGACUGGCAGGGCUGGGAGGUGUGCCGUCAAGCACAUGGUCCCAAGUUCGCAUCCCUAGAAAGAUAGGGCCUACGGUGAUAGGCGCUAUAUAAAUACAUAGAUAGGGUCAUGUAUAAGAAAUAUUACGUAGUGGGGAGCGGGGCAGGGGGGCUCAGAGUGCUGAGCCUCGGGUCCCACUGCAGACAUAAGCCCCACACCAAUCAGUCAAUCCCACACGCAUACACAGGAACCGAUCUCUACCGAUGUGGAAUGGGCGCACACACACACACACACACACACACACACACACACACACACACAACCGGGGGGCUCCCAGCGCUCUUCUCCCCAGGAUUCAGGACUUUGUGGCGUCGGCCCUGCAGCUCUUUACCUCUGUUGCCCUGAUUGCAGGUAGACUCUCAAUCCCAGAAGUUGCUAGGUGCUGAAGGCGGGAAGAGGAGGUUUUAUCCCCGCAGGUGCUCUCCUCUAGCAGGUAGCAUUCUAUCUCUUUUGCCCCUGGUGAUGUCAAAAGAUUCUUCUGUUAGCAACCUGUGAUACUGACCUGCAACUCUAGGCACCAGUCAAGUCAGCCCUCGACUCCCCCUACCUAUUCUCCCCCAACCAAAAUAAAAUCGACAUCCAGGUCUAUCUUGGCCAGGGGGCUUCCAUUGGAAAAAAAAAAAAAAAAAAGAAAGAAAAAUGGGACAGUGAAACUCAUCUUUUGAAUAAAGUAAAUUAGUAAUUGGUGACAAAACUAAACCAAGGCUUUGAAUCCCUUGCUCAUUGCUCAGGAGUAAGCUCACAGCUGGUGGCCACAGUCUCCCACUCCUUUUGAGGUGCUUGGUCCUGGGCUUCAAGCUACGCGUUUCCUUGUCAGAUUGGUUUUUAAGAUCACACCCAGUUUGCUCCCUGCCAACUCUGUGACGUGGCGGCAGGUGGCCACGGUGGGCCUCCUCGGGGCCGGAGCAGCUAGGAGGGGGAAUACCUCUGCCCCUCCCUCGUUGGAACCCCUGUACCUAACCCGUGGUGCUCACGCUCGUCCCCUCCUUCUCCAGCCGGGCUCCAUCUUCCUGGCCUGGGUCCACCAGCACCACUCCAGGAGGGCUUCGGGGAGGAGGGGCUGCCUCAGGCAGUCCAAGGUGCUCCCUCCCCCACUGGCCAAGGCUAAGGUCUUCGCAGCCCCCAGCGUCAGGACCGGCUCUUCACGGGCCUGCCUCUGCAAACAGACUUUCCAGCUCUCCUGGCCCUCCUAGGCCUUUCGUCCACUGCUUACAUGAAGGAGUUUGCCUUUCCCGACGGCCCAAGCUUCACCCAGGGGGUUGGUGUGGUAGCCGUGGAGGCGGCAAGCCUGAGGGCUUAGUGUGGGCUGGCCAGCUUGCUGGGGGGAGGCCUGCUUGUUGUGACUGAUCCUGAAGAGUACUUGUUUCUCCUGGUCCAGCAACCUGACUAGGCCCCAGAAUGGGCCAGAUGACCGUUAGCAAACACCAGCUUUUCUUCCAGCCCACCCCACGGGCUUGGUCCCCCCAGUAGAACUCGGGAGGGUGCAGGGGACCUUGGGAAUGUACCAGCUUGGCUGUGCCCGAUGCUCGCAACAGUCUGCUGCUAGCCCUGGGUGGGGUGCUUCUGGGGACACGGAUCUGGUCGCCUUCUAAAGGAGGGCUGUGCUUUGACGGAGGCAGGGUUGUGUGAGGAUUAAGGAGGGGAUCGUUAACACUUGCUGUGGGUGAAGCCAAGGUUAGGGGCGUGGAGUAGGAGAAACCAAAGAAGGCCCAGGGAAAAUUCUGGAGUAUGUCCCCAGUGGGAUCUUUCUUAUGAAAUUUACCCCGGGAAACCAGGGCUUCUGGGGCCUGAGGAGGAUGCCUCCCCAUUUGUGGCAGGUGCCAAGUAGAAGGUGGUGCCAAAGAGAUGGGUGGCUUUUGUCAGGGGGAGGUUGCCGGGGGCUUGUGCCAGGGUCACAGAGCCGUCGGCCGCCUGCCUGAGGAGGAAGUGAGUCUCCCGCAGGCAGCUGCUGAGCCCUGUGGGCCAGGCCUCAAGCUGGCUGGUGCUAAGCCCCUUCCCCGGGGGACUGGCUGCAGAGCAGUCGGCUGGGGGAGCAGCCGGUGAGGCCUGGGGCGGGGAGAGGGUUCUUGCAGUCAGCAGAUCACGCCAUGAGUGUGUUACUAUCUGUUUUUCUCUCUAGACCUCAGAACCUUCCUGCUAUUGAACAUUCUUCUAGAAAGCAAACUUCCCCAAAGAGCGUCCAGGACCUCUUAGCUUUUGAGACAGGCCUGGGAGUGGUUGGCUGGUGGAGAUGCCCGUGGGAGUCUUGACUGAUUCGGUCGCAGAGCUCUAGAAUUCAACGUCCAACCAAAAUGCCGAAAUUUCUUAGAAUACGCAGAGGGAGGAGGUGACUCAACAAGGUGCUAAAAACAUUUUAUUAAAAAUAUAUAUUGUUAAAUUAAGUCUGCUGUCUGGACAAUGACUGUUUGUUUUGUUUUCUUGUAGUGGAGUUUAAAAGAGACUAUUAUUUUACUCUGAUAUAUUAUUAUUAAAAAGGCAUUUUAACUUUGUACUUGAAAACUAAAUGAGCGAUUUCAUGUGUUUUAGCUGAGGCAUUGAAGUAGCGGGUGCUUACUUAUUUGUGGGAAAUCAUGUAUUCAUACUGAAGAAUAAACUCUGUAGCUGAUUUGGUAA
This is a long non-coding RNA of Callorhinus ursinus (northern fur seal), 4413 nucleotides long. RefSeq lists it as uncharacterized. NCBI's taxonomy places the organism in Eukaryota, Metazoa, Chordata, Mammalia, Carnivora, Otariidae. The record is from RefSeq and is a predicted model, not a curated record.